CCUACGGGAGGCAGCAGUAGGGAAUAUUGCGCAAUGGGGGAAACCCUGAAGCAGCAACGCCGCGUGGAGGAUGAAGGUUUUCGGAUUGUAAACUCCUUUUGUUAGAGAAGAUGAUGACGGUAUCUAACGAAUAAGCACCGGCUAACUCCGUGCCAGCAGCCGCGGUAAUACGGAGGGUGCAAGCGUUACUCGGAAUCACUGGGCGUAAAGAGGGCGUAGGCGGGAUAGCAAGUCAGAUGUGAAAUACUAUGGCUUAACCAUAGAACUGCAUUUGAAACUGUUAUUCUAGAGUAUGGGAGAGGUAGGUGGAAUUCUUGGUGUAGGGGUAAAAUCCGUAGAGAUUAAGAGGAAUACUCAUUGCGAAGGCGACCUGCUAGAACAUAACUGACGCUGAUGCGCGAAAGCGUGGGGAGCAAACAGGAUUAGAUACCCGAGUAGUC
RNAcentral lists this ribosomal RNA (440 nucleotides) under uncultured bacterium. Its description in RNAcentral is "partial 16S ribosomal RNA". It matches the Rfam family "Bacterial small subunit ribosomal RNA", at positions 338 to 795 of the family's 1533-position model. The record is from RNAcentral.